GAUUUCUGGUUUGAUGUACCUGUCCCGCUGCGGUAACGUAUGUGUGUGACGGAGUAGGUCUGCCAUCCUUCUAGAGAAUGCAAGCUGUCCUUUACUGGACCGGUUUGCAUCAUCUAGAUCUUUUACUUUGAAAAAAUUAGAGUGUUUCAAGCAGGCAUGUUUUGCUAUGAAUACAUUAGCAUGGAAUAAUAAUCUAGGACUUUCGGUUCUAUUUUGUUGGUGUUCUGGAGCUGAAGUAAUGAUUGAUAGGGAUAGUUGGGGGUGCUAGUAUUCAAUGGCCAGAGGUGAAAUUCUCGGAUUCCUUGAAGACUAACUUAUGCGAAAGCAUU
Molecule: ribosomal RNA, 329 nt
Filed under: Allapsidae sp.
Lineage: Eukaryota; Cercozoa; Glissomonadida; Viridiraptoridae
Description: SSU rRNA
Rfam family: Eukaryotic small subunit ribosomal RNA (bases 59-329)
Source: RNAcentral